This 174-nucleotide ribosomal RNA is filed under the name uncultured bacterium. RNAcentral describes it as "partial 16S ribosomal RNA". It matches the Rfam family "Bacterial small subunit ribosomal RNA", at positions 337 to 508 of the family's 1533-position model. The record is from RNAcentral.
UCCUACGGGAGGCAGCAGUGAGGAAUAUUGGUCAAUGGGCGAGAGCCUGAACCAGCCAAGUAGCGUGCAGGAUGACGGCCCUAUGGGUUGUAAACUGCUUUUAUAGGGGGAAUAAAGUGAGCCACGUGUGGCUUUUGCAUGUACCCUAUGAAUAAGGACCGGCUAAUUCCGUGC